Molecule: long non-coding RNA, 998 nt
Filed under: Olea europaea (common olive)
Lineage: Eukaryota; Viridiplantae; Streptophyta; Magnoliopsida; Lamiales; Oleaceae
Description: long non-coding RNA (OEUR_LNC003842)
Source: RNAcentral
GGGGAAACAAACUGUCCGCCCACUCUACAAGCGCGGCUGAUUGACGCCUAUGAGCAGACGCUUCAUACCGUCAGAUGUAUACACGUGUUCCACAUCCCACGGUUCAUACCACCUAUAAAUACCCAAAGAUUGGCCAGAGGCAAAGGUAAUGAAACUCUCAAUAGAUAGCACUCCAUAACAAGUUUAUAUAUUCUCCUCCCCCUUUAUUGACUGAUUGAUUUGUAUAGUCCCUGGACACUGUUCCGACCACCCAAACCUGACUUGACCGUCGGAGUGUAUACGGCCGCCGCCACCGUUGGUUCCGGCCGUGUGCGCCUGACAGUUUGUUCAUUUCGUAGGGAGGAAUACGUGGAGUAGCUACAAGUUGGCCACGUGGAAGAGCCAUUUUUAGAGGUCAACAAAGAUUAUUAUGAUUACAUCAUUCAAUGAUUAACAAUACCACAAUCAAUCUCUGAUAUAUCUGCAAUUGAUCAAAAACUUCUUUAAGUAUAAUAAGACAUUUACAGGAGGAAUUCCUUGAGGGAACAUGUGUUACCCAAGCAACAAAUCCUAAACUGUAUUCUAACAAUCUAAAGAAAAAUAAUCCGACAAUUUUCUUCAAAACCCACUCGACUAAUCCUACCCCUCGAACUAGUGACCAUUGGUGAGCAAAUCCAAAGGCUUGACCAAUGAGAAAACCCUCGGGAUUUGUUAAUCAUAUAUUUGAACUUCAAUUUAUGAAACGUGUUACCAUAACAAUAGCCUCAUUAAUCCAAACAAUAUUUCAAAAACCCUAAGGUAUCCUUCCACGGAAACGAGAAUGCGAAUACAACACAAGGAAAACAGAAAAAUCAACGGCAAAGGUUUCCUAAGAAGAUGUUUCACCUUUUCCGAGGAGAAUCGACCUGAAAAGGAGUACAAAAACUAUAAGAAAUUCGCCAUUUAAUAAUAAUUACAAUAUCAACACAUCAUCAAUGAGAAAUAUGUUUCUAUGUACAUAUGUACCAUUUUACGUGCAG